AUGUUAAAAUUAUUAGUACUGAAAUUAGGCCUGGAAGUGAGAGAAAACUGUAUUAAGUGUGACCAAAGAAGACUAAAUCUUUUCCACAUGAGUCAACAUUGCCAUACUAAAAAAUUGAUUAGCUUGUUGCAUUUGUUGCCAAAAUUGGAUGUUCGGUUACAGCAUAUUUAAUUCCCAUUUGUGGGAAUUUUGAAAUGUAAAGACUGUUGUCUUACCUGGUUAGCCCUGAACUAAGCCAACAGCGUAUCUGCAGGAAAAUAUCUUAUUUAUAGUAAUAUGCCUGAAUACUGCUUGGUUUCACUCUUGAAAUGAUUUAUUUCAAUUAAUUUGUAUAAACGUUAUGAGUGGAGAGAUCAUCUACAUGUUAAAAGCACUAUAUAUCCAUUUUUCAAAAUCCAUACAUGUAAAACUAAUACAAUUACAGAAGUAUUUCCUAAACACAGUGUUUAACAAAAUUCUCCACAGUAAUUCACCUACUGUUUGCAGUUUAUGUGAUCCAAACUCUUAAAGAAAUUGCAUAAAUGUAUAUGUUGUAUUAUGUAUCAUUUCCUUGUCCAAAGAAAGUAUGUGAAUUCAGUUCUAACUUUAAGAAUGUACUUUUUGUUUUCAAGUCCACUGAAGAAAUUGCAUUCAAUCUGUGAGUGGUUGCAGAUUGUAUGAAAUGAAAAGUAGAAAUAAUUCUAGCUCGCAAAACUGGUGCCACUAAAUAAACAGGCAAUUGCAUAAUGUGUGUGUAUCUAUGAUUAUUUGAUACUGCAGGCAGCGUUUUUGUUCUGCAUAGAAACCUGGAAAUUUUGAAUUUAUUUAUUAGGAGACCUUAAGAAAAUUUUUGUUCAACUGAACUUGGUUAAUUUGCUUAAAAAGAUAGAUCUGAUAGUCACAGUUUGAACUAGACUUGUCCCUCCCUGAUUUUAGGAAGAUGAUUGAAAGCCAGUAAGUUCAGAUUGAUGAUUAUUUUCAUGAAACAUCCCAGAAACCAAAAAGCCAUAAGUUGUCCCCUUGGCAAGAACAUACCGUUUGUCGUCUUAUAGAUGUAUAUUUCUUACUCCCUUAAAGAGUUGAGACUGUAUGGGGAGUGGCCUGGAAAAGGACUUCUCCACCUAGCUAGUAUCCCUCGUGUAGUGCCUGCUUCGUAUUAGACACGUGUUUAGGAUGCUUACUUCCUCUGCUCAUUCUGAAAAUUGGUUGUACGACCUCUGUCCUGUGUUCAUUCGUGUCUGAAAGUGUGACUUAUUUUAUAGGCUUGCAUAGUUAGAGGGAUUUUAGAGUACAUUGAAUUGAUGAUGUAAGUGAAGUUCUGUGAACUGCAAGAGCUUAUUUUGUUCAUUGUAAAAUGUGUAAUGAAAACACAGUAAUGAGGGGCAUCAUAGCCAAAGGUAGCAAGUCUUACAACUAAGUAAGGUUGAAGUAAAAAAGGAUUCAUUUGGCUUAUGCAUAACUAGUAUCUGUUCACUGGUCAAAUUGUGUCCUGAAGUUUUGGUUUUGUUUUUUUUGUAGUUAUUCUUUUGAAUGUUGAAGGUAGGUUUUUUGUGGGGUUUGUUUUUGUUUAGUAAAAAUUGUUUCAGUUUUUUCCCUUAAUUGAUCACAUGCUGAGAAGCUGAUAUUGGGGUACCCUUUUUUUUGUUGUUAUCACUUAGUAGCUCAGACUUGAAAUUCCCAUCAAAUCACAGAAAUUUUGAUUCUAGUUGAAAAGUCUGUUCUUAGAUAAACUACCCCAAAAAACUUGGCUUGCAUGCCCUCUGUAGGACUUGGUUAACUUGGCACAAAACCACUGGUAAAAGAUUUCUGUUCUGCUGCUGCCUGUUGUCUACAUGAUAUUCAUAUUUAUUCUCAUACCUAAUAUAAGGUGAUUCAGAGUACCUAAAAAGCUUUUGAUAAAAUUGUGUUUCAUGUUAAUAGUUGUACUGUUACCUGAAUAGUGCAUUAACUAAACACACUAUAUGAGUGUCAUUCUCUGCUGUAGUUUGGGUACCAGCUUGGGUCUUCCAGAUAAAUCAUUUUCUCUAUGGCUUUCCUUAUAGCUACACAAAUGUUUUUCUAGACACUUGACCUAGUGAAAUUGACAAUAUUUGAUCAUUUUUGAUCUACCAAAAUGGCAGUUUUUAUCUGGUUCCAUUUAAUAGUUUCUGAAGUUACUAAAUGAUCAGAUUGCAAGUCAGUACAAUUGACCCUUGAACAGUGCGGUGGUUAGUAGUGCCGACCCUCUGUACAGUUGAAAAUCCAAGUAUAACCUUACAGUCAGCCUUCUGAAUCCUUGUUUUGGCAUCAGCAGACUCAACCAACCACGGAUUGGGUAGUACUGUAGUACAUAUGUAGUGGAAAAACUGCCUAUAAGUGGACUGCGCAGAUAAACCUGUGUUGUUCGGAGGCCACCUGCACUUCUCAGUAUUUAUAUUUCAAUUAAAUCAUGUCUCCUUAGGAUUGAUCCUUAGAACUGGAUGACAAGUUUAAAGAAAAGCUAUAGCUUUGAAAACAAUUGCCAAUAUGAAGUUCGGUAAAUGGACAAUACCAAAUUUGUAAUUCCUACCUUGAAAUUAAAUGAAAGCUCGUAAGACAACUUUUUAUUUUAAAUUACUAACUUAUUCUUUGUCUUUCCGACUUUUCACAGUGCCCCUAUAGUUGCUCUAGGAUAGAUCAACUUGCUGCGUAGACAUUUGGUAUGAGAAAUGUUAUUCCAGCAGUGACCCAGAAAGGGAAUAAUAUUGAAUUUAAAUGUUCAGGCAGAAUUAUAAUAAAGCAUAAAAAUAAGGUGGGAAAAUGAUGUUUAUGGUUUUAUUUUUAAUUACAUAAUUGAGGUGAGUGAAGAGUUCCUUUCAGACAUUUUAUUAAGCCUGUUAAGAUGUAUGGAUCCAGCUCAGUCUGUGACUGUGAGACAUCAUUGAAGUUGAUGAGAAUCAUGCUCUUAAGUUCAGUCCUUGUUAAAGGUGGGUGAAAGCUCUAACUUCAUUCUGAGUGAUGAUCAAACUCUGACUUAGGUUGUAUCCAUGCUGUGCCCUUCCUAAAGAUCUUUUAUAUUUUGCUAUUUGUGUUUGUUUUGGUAACAAGUAUUUAAAAAUCAGAGGGUUUGCUAGAAGAGUUUGUGACUAAGUCUAAGGUGUUAUGUAUGUACCUUAUAUUAGCAUCCUGAAACCAUUCCAGGAUUGUCUUUUAAAUUCUCAAUAUAACAUUUUGAAUGUAUAGUUGAUUCUAUUUAAUGAAGAAAACAAAGUUUAACUAUAUGUCAUUAUGAGAGCACAGUUAUUCUCAAUUAUUUUAGCCAUUGAUCUUUUAACUGCCUAUUAACAAAACUGAAAGGUUUUUUAAACUAAAAGUCUCCAAAACAUUCCUAACAAAAACUAAAAUUUUCUAGUGACUGGAUGAAGUAGAAGCACAUGGGAAGUAACUUUUUAAACUUAGCAUUAGGCAAAUAAAAGUAUUUAUGUAUCUGAUGUAAAUUCAAUUUUUAUAACUGUCUUCUUUGAUGUUCUUUGACAGACUCUUUGCAGCAGUGAUCCUUAAUAGAGAGGGGUCUUAUUAAGGGCAAUAAAACUGCUUCUGUGCCUAGAUCACAGAAAGGGAGCUUACUUGCUGUCCUUCCUUAGUAUUUCCUUUUCUGUCUGAAAUCAGAAUAAUUGCC
This 3616-nucleotide long non-coding RNA is filed under the name Delphinapterus leucas (beluga whale). Its description in RNAcentral is "lncRNA (ENSDLEG00000006174.1)". Lineage: Eukaryota; Metazoa; Chordata; Mammalia; Artiodactyla; Monodontidae. The record is from RNAcentral.